This 492-nucleotide ribosomal RNA is filed under the name uncultured bacterium. RNAcentral describes it as "partial 16S ribosomal RNA". It matches the Rfam family "Bacterial small subunit ribosomal RNA", at positions 29 to 507 of the family's 1533-position model. The record is from RNAcentral.
AGUGAACGCUGGCGGUAGGCCUAACACAUGCAAGUCGAACGGCAGCACAGUAAGAGCUUGCUCUUACGGGUGGCGAGUGGCGGACGGGUGAGGAAUACAUCGGAAUCUACUUUUUCGUGGGGGAUAACGUAGGGAAACUUACGCUAAUACCGCAUACGGCCUACGGGUGAAAGCAGGGGAUCUUCGUACCUUGCGCGAUUGAAUGAGCCGAUGUCGGAUUAGCUAGUUGGCGGGGUAAAGGCCCACCAAGGCGACGAUCCGUAGCUGGUCUGAGAGGAUGAUCAGCCACACUGGAACUGAGACACGGUCCAGACUCCUACGGGAGGCAGCAGUGGGGAAUAUUGGACAAUGGGCGCAAGCCUGAUCCAGCCAUACCGCGUGGGUGAAGAAGGCCUUCGGGUUGUAAAGCCCUUUUGUUGGGAAAGAAAAGCAGCAGGUUAAUACCCCGCUGUUCUGACGGUACCCAAAGAAUAAGCACCGGCUAACUUCGUG